AUGAUGCAGCGCCCGCUCCUUGACAUCUCCCCGUUGUGGCCUUCAGGCUUUGAAGCAUCCCCAACCCCGCCACUCCAGUGCAACGGCAACCUGCAGCGAACCCCUACGCCACCCCGUGCUCGCCCCCAUGAUGCUGGGCACGACCUGCCGGCGGGCCUGGCUGAGCUCAUUGUGCCCUGCCUUGAGCUUCCGGCUACGCUCUUCUGCCCAAGGCAGCCAGCGCUCCUGCCAUCUGCAGCCACGCAACCUCCCCCUGAGAUGCCCUUGGCAUCUCCAAGGCCAAGCCCUCCAGCGGCCCGUCGAAAGACUUUGGCGGGCAUGAGAAUCUCCAAGGAGGGCGGCAUCUCUCUGCAACGGACCCGGCGACCUUCCAGCCGCACGCCGGCUGCUCCGGUGGCAAAGGUGGCCGAGCGCCUGGUUUGCCGCAGCCUGGGCAUAACCAAAGAUGGUCAAGAUGUAACUGCUUCGAUCCUGGAGGCGUUCACAGAGAGAUUCAAGGAGCAGCUCCCUCCUGAAGUGAUUGUGGCCAUGAGGGACUUCUUCAAGCUUGAUGACAGUUCUAUUAGCGCUGCUGAGGAUGCGCUGAUAGACCAUGGUGGUGCUGCGGCAUUAGACUCUGUGGGGCUGGAGCAAGACGGCCAGGGAUCGGAGCCGGCGAUCGCUUGA
This 666-nucleotide ribosomal RNA is filed under the name Triticum aestivum (bread wheat). RNAcentral's name for it is "partial small subunit ribosomal RNA". Lineage: Eukaryota; Viridiplantae; Streptophyta; Magnoliopsida; Poales; Poaceae. The record is from RNAcentral.